AGACUGAACAACAACCGUACUGUACAAUGUCGCAGAGGUGAAAAUCAUCACUCCCCAAUCAGACAACAAUCAAUCAUCAAUCAGAAGACAUACCUCCUCCUGUUUCCUACCCUAUCACAGUUCCUUUCCCUUGGUUUAAAAACCCCAUCAGUUGUUUGCUCUAGAGCUCAAUCUCUCUGUAAAUGCCAUGUAUGUAGAUCUCUGUGUUUCACUCUCUCUUUGUGUCUUAACCUCUCUUUUGUUUGAGCACCUCCAAAUCACUUUGUCAUCUCCUGUGAGUAUUGUUUUUGGUUAUGGUGUUUGUGUUUGAUUGCUGGUGGGAAAAGGGGAAACCAAGACAAGUCGCCCAUGGGCAUACACUACCCGUAGGUAGACUUUGUUAAAAACACUAGUUAGAACUGGGCGGACCACCCACUGUAUUUUUGGUUAGUUAGGUAGCUGUUGUUAAAAUAGGCUAGUCUAGCUUAGGGGUGUUUUGGAUGCUUAUUGUUUCUUUCCUUGGGUCCAGCUUAGCCCCUUUUCCUGCUCCCCCCAUUACCGUGUGUUUUACAAUAAACCCUGAGUUUGACGGUAUAAUUUCAGUUAUCGUGGUUAUUUCGUUCACACUUUGACUUUGUCACAAUUAUAAUUUGCAUGAGUUAUGUUACGGGUCUCAUUACCAUCCCCCCUAGACUGUCGGGCCAAAAGGGAUUCGUAACACUCCAGCUUCAGCGAUUUUUGCAAUUCGUUCCAGCCAUUGGCAGCAAAGAACUGGAAGGCAGCCAAAGGUGGUGUUGGCUUUGGGGUGACUAGUGAGAUAUACCUGCUGGAGCACGUGCUACGGGUGGGCGUUGUUAUCGUGACCAGUGAGCUGAGAUAAGGUGGAGCUUUACCUAGCAUAGACUUAUUGAUGACCUGGAGCCAGUGGGUCAGGCGACGAAUAUGUAGCGAGGGCCAGCCGACAAUAGCAUACAGGUCGCAGUGGUGGGUGGUAUAUGGGGCUUUGGUGACAAAACGGAUGGCAUGGUGAUAGACUGCAUCCAGUUUGCUGAGUAGAGUGUUGGAGGCUAUUUUGUAAAUUACAUCGCCGAAGUCAAAGAUCGGUAGGAUAGUCAGUUUUACGAGGGUAUGUUUGGCGACGUGAGUGAAGGAGGCUUUGUUGCGAAAUAGGAAGCCGAUUCUAGAUUUAAUUUUGGAUUGGGGAUUUUUAAUAUGAAUCUGGAAGGAGAGUUUACAGUCUCGCCCGACACCUAGGUAUUUGUAGUUGUCCUCAUGUUCUAAUUCAGAACCUUCCAGAGUAGUGAUGCUAGUCGGGCGGGCGGGUGUGGGCAGCGAACGGUUGAAAAGCACGCAUUUAGUUUUACUAUCGUUUAAGAGCAGUUGGAGGCCACGGAAGGAGUGUUGUAUGGCAUUGAAGCUCGUUUGGAUCUUUUUUUUUAUACAAUGUCCAAAGAAGGGCCAGAUGUAUACAGAAUGGUGUCGCCUGCGUAGAGGUGGAUCAGGGAAUCACCCGCAGCAAGAGCGACAUCGUUGAUAUAUACAGAGAAAAUGGUCGGCCCGAGAAUUGAACCCCGUGGUAGCCCCAUAGAGACUGCCAGAGGUCCGAGAGUUUACAUACACUAGGUUGGAGUCAUUAAAACUCAUUUUUCAACCACUCCACAAAUUUCUUGUUAACAAACUAUAGUUUUGGCAAGUCGGAUAGUGCAUCUACUUUGUGCAUGACAAGUAAUAUUUCAACGAUUGUUUACAGACGGGUAAUUUCACCUAUAAUUCACUGUAUCACAAUUCCAAUGGCAUUCCAGAGGGACAUCAGAGACUGUAACGUUCUUUGCUUCACGGAAACAUGGCUCACUGGAGAGACGCAAUCCGAAGCGGUGCAGCCAGCGGGUUUCUCCACGCAUCGCGCCGACAGAAACAAACAUCUUUCUGGUGGCCAUUGCAAAGCACUACACUGACCUUAUCUGAGGCAUCCUCGUUCUUGAUGAGAAGAAGUGUGCGGCCCUUCUGGAGAAGCUGUCUGCUCAGAUGGCCAAGAAGAUUACAGAGGUGAUCUACAAGCUUUACUGCAAUCACCAUGAGAACAUGAUGGCACAGUACCGGGCCAAGCCCGACAAAGGAGUUGGGGAGAAGGAGGGAUCAGCUGUGCUGGAGCAGGAGAAGAAGGCUGCUGGAGAGAAACGGUUGGAGAUGGAGCGCACCAUGGAGGACGAUCGCAGAAGCAAAGACGAGAAGUUGAAGCAGAUGGAAGAGAAGAUAAGAGGAUUUGAAGCAACAGGAACAGGACUUCCACAGGGCCUUGGAGUGCAAGAUGCAGGAGCAGAAGGAUCUACUGGAGAAGGGCCACAAGGAGAAGGCUGACUUAAUGAGACAGGAGAUAGAGGAGUUCAAGAAUAGCAACAAACCUGAGAAGGAAGGAUGUGGUUGCCUUGAGUCUACAGUCAUGCCUGUUCUUCGAUUUGGAUUGGAUGCUGCCAACACUAUUUCAAUAUACGCUCAUGAAGGCUAAGAUACUCCAGGAGGCGAAGGAGGAGCCACAGGAGUUGGAGCGAGCACUAGCUAGCAAGCUCCAUGAGCAGGAAAAGCUGAUGGCUAAUGGCUUCACAGAGAAAGAGGCAGCCAUGAAUGAGGAGAUACAGAGCCUGAGAGAGAAGGAGGAGGCCAAGCGUGAGGAGAAGGAAGAGCAGUCUUGUAACUUCAGAGCCAUAGCACAGGGUGUCAUGGAGAGUGUCAGCAAUGGCUUAGGUCCCUACUUUAACUAUAAGAAAGCCUGUGAGCAACGCAAGACGAUUGUGUUCAAGGAGCACAUGACUCUCAAGCAAGACGGCCACACCCAAACUCAAAACAGGAGCAGUUGGCAACUCUAAACACAACUCUGCCCAAAGUCAACACAGGUACAACUGACAAAAGCCCUGGCUCAGAGGUCUAUAGGAUUCACCAGAGAUUGGUCAAUGGUCCAGAUCAGCAGCCACACCUUUCUCCAGUCUCAACAUUAACCAGAAGAGCUACUAGGAAAUAGUGCAACAGAAAGACUGCUGUGCAACAACAGUACAAUGGGGCCAAACCAGCUGUCACUUCACAGAAGUCAGUUCCUCAGUUUAUAACCAUUAAUUUAUCAUUCUGAUAUAAUUAAAUAUUUAAAAGGUUAUUACAUACCAUUCUUAGAAUUGUAGUUAAGAUGUGUGCUUUGUUUUGUUCUUGGAUGUAGGGUCAAGUAAAUUAGCUUAACUUGUUUUGAAGUCAAAUUUGGCUAGAAUGGAACUGCUCAGCUUCAAUGUGCUUUUAAAUUCAGGGUUGACCAUUAUCAUGUUUUGUAAUUGUUGUUUAAAUAAACCUUGCUUCAUCUCUAUUUCUGCCGCCAUUCUAAAAUGGCAGCAGUUUUACGGGUGCCCAACCAAUUGUGCUAUUAUGUGGGGGUUUUUCGCGUUAUU
Oncorhynchus tshawytscha (Chinook salmon) is the source of this 3407-nucleotide long non-coding RNA. NCBI's taxonomy places the organism in Eukaryota, Metazoa, Chordata, Actinopteri, Salmoniformes, Salmonidae. The record is from Ensembl.